RNAcentral lists this ribosomal RNA (836 nucleotides) under uncultured bacterium. RNAcentral describes it as "bacterial SSU rRNA". It matches the Rfam family "Bacterial small subunit ribosomal RNA", at positions 64 to 896 of the family's 1533-position model. The record is from RNAcentral.
GAACGGCAGCACGGACUUCGGUCUGGUGGCGAGUGGCGAACGGGUGAGUAAUAUAUCGGAACAUACCCUAGAGUGGGGGAUAACGUAGCGAAAGUUACGCUAAUACCGCAUACGAACUAAGGUUGAAAGUGGGGGAUCGCAAGACCUCAUGCUCAUGGAGUGGCCGAUAUCUGAUUAGCUAGUUGGUGAGGUAAAGGCUCACCAAGGCGACGAUCAGUAGCUGGUUUGAGAGAACGACCAGCCACACUGGAACUGAGACACGGUCCAGACUCCUACGGGAGGCAGCAGUGGGGAAUUUUGGACAAUGGGCGCAAGCCUGAUCCAGCAAUGCCGCGUGAGUGAAGAAGGCCUUCGGGUUGUAAAGCUCUUUUGUCAGGGAAGAAACGGUAGUCUCUAAUACAGAUUGCUAAUGACGGUACCUGAAGAAUAAGCACCGGCUAACUACGUGCCAGCAGCCGCGGUAAUACGUAGGGUGCAAGCGUUAAUCGGAAUUACUGGGCGUAAAGCGUGCGCAGGCGGUUAUAUAAGUCAGAUGUGAAAUCCCCGGGCUCAACCUGGGAACUGCAUUUGAGACUGUAUGGCUAGAGUGUGUCAGAGGGGGGUAGAAUCCCACGUGUAGCAGUGAAAUGCGUAGAUAUGUGGAGGAAUACCGAUGGCGAAGGCAGCCCCCUGGGAUAACACUGACGCUCAUGCACGAAAGCGUGGGGAGCAAACAGGAUUAGAUACCCUGGUAGUCCACGCCCUAAACGAUGUCUACUAGUUGUCGGGACUUAAUUGUCUUGGUAACGCAGCUAACGCGUGAAGUAGACCGCCUGGGGAGUACGGUCGCAAGAUUA